CUUGGACUAAGGCAGAAGGACGUGGAAUCGAACCGGCGUCCUCCCGAAUGUUAAGCAAUGGUCUAAACCUCUGGGCCAUGCCGCUCCGAGAAGGAACUAAAAAACUUUAAAAAAAACUUUUGGGUGUUUUAUUCCCAAUGCUGGUGGGCGGGCAGGUCAUCGAGGUAUAAAGAUGCGUGUUCUAUUAAUAAUAAUAAUGAGACAGUUUAAAUAAAGCAAUUGAUUUUGCAACUGACGAGAAUAUCAAAAUUUUGAAUAAAGUGCUAAAAUCUUUUUUGGUUCGUCAGAUAAUCGAAAAAAUUAAUAUUUUAAAUUUCUUUAACUCAUCGUCAGAAUAUUUUACUUAUAAUUACAUCUAUUGGAAUAUUACAUUCUUAUUGCAGCUUUUUGGAACUCCAUACAUCGGUGUCUUCAGAAUUUGCAUGCAACGUUUCGUCUUAGCGGAAGUACCAUUAACAUUAAAAUUUUAAGUACGGAUCUAGAUUUUUUAUUUUUUUUUUUACUUUUUUUUAAAAAAAAUGUGCUAAACGUACAUCGUAUGGUCUCUUACUUAUUCUCGACGUUACGCAGCAAUAAAACCAUCAUGAGACAGCAGUUCAGCUUUGUUCUCAAUGAAAUAAAGAAAAGACAACAGAGCACAGAGCCAAAAAAUUCUGUAACGAAAAGGAAUAUGGAUCAAAAAACUCCAAACCAACUGAAAUGUUUUCGUUGUAAUUCAUGUGGAAAACCUCUAACAUUAGGACCUGUGUCUAUUCAUGUAGACGGAAUGUUUUACUGUGAAAAAUGUAGCUCAAGAUAUGCAUAUGCAGGAAACAACUCUUUUUAUAACACCACUCUUGGUGCAGCAUUGUAUAGACAUACGUUUAAAUGUGGCAAUAAUGGGUGUAAUGAGGACAUCCCCUUGCUCCAAACCAAGAUGCACGAAGAUAACUGCAGAUUUAAACCAAUACCGUGUGUACUUUCACACUGCAAUUGGCUCAAAAGCAAAGGAGAUUUUCUUGAUCAUUUUCGCUUAAGUCACGGUCAGUUUUAUUGUAAAGAAAAUGAAAAUAUUAUGUUCGACAUUCAAGGCAAACAGAAAGAGAAAUUCGUUAUGAUUGAUAAUUAUUGCUUUAUUAAAAUGUAUACCUCUGAAGAUGGGACUACUUUAAAUUUUGCUGUUUGUAAAAUACAAAACAAUUUCGAAAGCUGUAAAAUUGAUAUAUUCGAUAAGGAUCUAAAUUAUAUGGGUAAAUAUGCUAGAAAUGCCGAAGCAUUUGAUGAAAAUUUCACAAAUUGUAAUUGUGUAGUCUCUUUUCCACAUAUUGAUAAGUUUUUUAGUACUUCAAGUGUAUUAAAUAUUCAAAUUACUUGUAAAAACAGUUAUUAACAAUAAAAUUUCCCUGAUAAAUAAUAUUUA
Molecule: long non-coding RNA, 1399 nt
Organism: Agrilus planipennis (emerald ash borer)
Lineage: Eukaryota; Metazoa; Arthropoda; Insecta; Coleoptera; Buprestidae
Exons: 2
Source: RefSeq, a predicted model, not a curated record